Long non-coding RNA from Nymphaea colorata (pocket water lily), 9358 nucleotides. RefSeq lists it as uncharacterized. The record is from RefSeq and is a predicted model, not a curated record. NCBI's taxonomy places the organism in Eukaryota, Viridiplantae, Streptophyta, Magnoliopsida, Nymphaeales, Nymphaeaceae. The transcript is spliced from 9 exons.
AUUCAAAAAGUAAACGAACAAUUGAUUCAACAAACUCUGAACUCUGAGUGCAGCCCAUCUCCCGCGACAGGUUGAUGUUCCACGGAACCAUUCUGAAAGACCGAGGGCGUUGAACUAGGCUGCCUCUCCCUCUGUUCAGACAGUUUGACGUGCGGACAGAAUUGCUGCCCGUUAGGGCAGAGUCUUUGCUCGUGGAGAAGGCUCCUCUUCCUCUCGCAGAAGCUCUCCCGCAAUGCAGCUGCUCAUUCUCGUAGCGCAUGUCUGCAUCAGCUCCUCUUCCGCAUCUCUGUCGAGUUAUGACUUGUGACCUAAUUCUGCUGAUGGCGGGUCAAAUUUGUUGUGAGAAAGGGAAGGCUCAAUGAGGCAGAGCAUUGUUGUAGACAGGCUUUAGCAGUCGUUAUCGGCACCAAUUAAUUGUCAAGGUAACCUUUGGGAAUACGAUGAAGGUUGAUGGUCCAUUACAAGAAGUGGAAUUAUUCUUCAUCGCCACCAACUACCCACCCGUGCCUUUGCUUCGACAGUUGGGUCCUUUAUGGUUUCAGACCAGGUGGGACAUUUGCAUUGUACUCACUGAUAUGCAAGCAUGUAAAGCUCUGUCUUCUUCCAAACCAAUUUUCAUCUGAUGCUCGUAUCAAGUUCAACUAAAGGUGCCACCUCCACAGCUUGGGAUGUCAAUAACGAUUAAAGAAAGGAGGCAAUUGCUUUAUAGAUUACCACAAUUAUGGUGUGGCUAUGAAUUAUUUUUUCCUCCAAAAUAUUUCACACAUUUGAUGUAGAAGGUUUGCAGUCAUAUGGGUUCAAGCUGGACUUUGGCAAGUUCUUGUAUGAAAACCCUUGUAUUAUAACAAAUUUUUUUCCCUGUACACCUGCAAAUCUAAUUAUGAAGGAAAAUGAAGAAAUUGAAGAAACAUGAGAAAGUGACUUAAAGUAGAAGAGACCAUAUUCUCCAUAUAGGAUUUGAUUGCCACAACUUCUCUUUUCCAGGGGGGGACUCCUCAUCUCCUGAACACUGAAGGCUGCUUUUGAAAAUUGCCAUAAGCACAACUUUCCAUUUUGCUCCUAUUUUCUUUCUGCUGUGAGCAUCUGUGAAUGGUCUAUUUGUCAUGACCAGUGACCACUUUAAUGAUGCUGCAACAGAAGAUGCCAGAUAUUAGGGACUGUUUGGCCUUCAUCUUGAUCAAAAGAGAAACAGAUUAUGAAUUGUAGCUAUGGAUCAAAUUGCUGGCAAACUAUGGUGGAUGUAGACUUGCCAUUUAUCACUUUUUUGUUAUUUUCUCAAGUCUUUUAAGAUUUUUCUUAUUCAUAUAUUAUUUAUUUUUUGACAAAAGUAGAUAAUAUUUGUUUCUAAGCCCAACUGAUUGAGUCUUUGAAUCAGCCAAUUCACCAAAUGGGCACCCUAACCAAUUUGAUUCACAGUGAGAUUUUUAUAACACUGAUUAAGACUUGAUUGGAAAAGUGCUCAUUGGCAGCCAAGGUACAAGCAUCUCCCUCUUUCAUUUCCGUUAGAAAUGAGGGCUGGCCAAAAAGCCCAACAAAACAACACUAAGUGGGAUUAUAAGGGGGAAACCCACCUAGGGUACCGAGCCACUCUCGGUUCUCGUGCCCAUGGGACUGGGUCCAUAUCCAGACCCGGUUCCCUUACACAAGAUAUUCUAACACUAUUAUAUUUGAUUUGCUCAUUUUUCUUUUUCCUAAGUCAAAGUUACAUGGACUCUCCAGAAAAGUUGUUGCACCCGAGUUAAUAUGACUCAACUGUGCAUGAAGCGAUCGAACAAUUUUCUUUCCUUUUUGUUGAAGUAUUGAUAGAAUCAUAGUUUAUUAGUUGUUAAUUGGUUAUUUUGUGUAUACACUUUAAUUGUCCUAUUUAGGUGUCAUGUAUUCGUUUCUUGAGUUCCAUGCACUUGGCCUUAUUGUGUUGCUGGUCCAUCUGAUAAUCCAUAGUGUCAGAGUCCCAACUAUUUGUUCACUUUCUAUGUUGUUUCUACUGCGUGCUUCUUGUCCAUCUAUCAAGGAUGACAUGGAUAACAAAUAAGAGGGCAUUUUCCUGCUGUUAUUCUUUCAACAUUUGCGAGCUAAGAAAAGUAGUUCUGUCAUCAAUUGAGAUUUGUAAUGUGGAAGUUGUGGGAGCCUGGGAGGUUAUAAUGUUCCUUUGGUGUUCUAGUGGAAGAAAAUGGUACAGAUGCUGCUUGCAUGUUUCAUAUUCUUUCUUGUGAUAAAAUUAUCUUUAUUUCUUCAUUUAUCUUGUUGCAGUUGUCUCUCAGUUAUUUCUCUAAAAUUAGGAUAUGCUUCUUGGAACUUUAACUGUAGUUUAACAAGUCCUUUUUCAGUACCAAUUUUUCUCUUGAAAGGGUCCAUGUACAUAAUGUGUUGCUGGUUCCUGUUGUUUCUCAUGCAUCUUUUGUUUAUGGUUGCUUUAAUUUUUACUUGACUAUUUGUAUCAGGGAUAAAUUGAUGAAUACAUUUAGAGACCAUUUGGUACUCCUAGAUAGCAGCAUAGGUUUUAGGGAUUAGAGUGGUCAUGAGCGAUGCUGCUAUUCUUCAAUAUUAUCUUACUAGCUCUAGCCUACUGACCAGGUAGUGGUUUUCCUGUUUUAGUAGCAUGACAUUAUCUAUGUGGCAUUAUGUUCAUCAGGCUCAAACACAUUGCUCAGUUCUGCAAGUGCUGCAUACUCUUUGCUGGUUAAUUUUCAUAUGUGGUAACCACUUGCGGCUACAAAAAAUAGAUGGCACAUCACUUGUAUAGAAUACAUACAUUGCCUAUUGGCCUUUGAGCAGACCGAAGUCUUCAUAAUACAUACAUUGCGCACUGGCCUUUGAGGAAUCCGAAGUCUUCAUAUGUAGAGUUAAUUUGGUCCAUUAGUCCUGGAGCAAUUCUAGGCUCUAAUAGUCGUUCUACACUAAGUCAACGGCCAAUGAUGGUAUAGUAUUGUCCCUAUUGUCUUGAUAUAUCAAAUAAUAGUUGUCUAGAGAGUCAUUCCUUAGUUUUGAUGUGGCUUGUUGUAGCAUUAAUUUAGUUGUGUCUUUUUGGUUGAUAAAAGUCGAAAGCACUUUUGUUUUACUUUUAGUGUCCCACAUGGUUGCGGUUGCUGUUCUUGAAAUGUGUUUUCAAAAUCAUGAAUAAAUGUUUCAUGUGUUUCUAAAGAUCCUAUCAACAGUAAUAACUUUGCCUCCUUUUUUGGGAGUAAAUUCCCUAUUUUUAGAAAUUUACCUGAUUCUUUUUGUAUUUUCUUAAUUUUUGUGCUGCUGAAUUUUAUUCCUGAUUGGACAUUGAUGAUAGGUUUUCUUUUUCGGUACAGGGUGAGAGAUACAUGUCCCAUCGUUUGUUGUGGUCUGUAAAGAAUCGUUUUGGAUCCACCGAUGAGCUUGGGGUAUUUGAAAUGUCCCAGUCUGGUCUUCAAGCUGCUUCAAAUCCAAAUGAGAUCUUCUUAAGUGAGAAUAAUUGUAAUUCAGAAGUUUUAGCAGGCUUAGCCAUCUCUGUCAUUAUUGAUGGAUCUCGGAUCUUUCUCCUGGAGGUGCAGGUAUUCUCGGACAUGCCUCAUCAAUGUGCUGGUUCAAAUUUUCGUUUAUACAUUUUCACAGGAGUGAAUUUCAUGAUACAGUUCUUUUCUGUGAUUGAACAACAUGAUGUCCGGAUGGUUCUGCUCUUUGGGUAGCUACUUCACUAUAUUGCCCUUUCUUCGUGGUUAUGAAGAGGUUUUGAUUUCUGUUCUAUAUUUGAUCAUGUGCAUGGAUCUUACAUACAUCCUAUUUGUUCCAUUUGCAUAUGCAAUGCAACUUUUUUUCUUCUCAAAUAACGAUAGAUUAGCACUGCAAAUGUGGAUUUUUUUUUCUACUCAAUUGCAAAUGCAGAUGUUUCUUUUUCCUCUAGUCAGAUCAUUUGUGGUACCUAUAGUUAUGAGCUGCUGUCUGGUAGGCCUCUGACCUGCAUUAGUAACUGUCUCUGAUGAGAAUAUGUAGAACAUAUAGGCCUGAUGAGAACAGGCCUCUGACAGGACUGUUCCAGAGAGAGAGAGAGAGAGAGAGAGAGAGAGAGAGAGAGAGAGAGAGAGAGAGAGAGACGGAGAGAGAGGGAGAGAGAAGCAUAAGGAGGAGGGAGUGAAUCAUGGAAGGAGUAGGGGCUAAAGUGGUUAGGUUCAAAGCAAGAGGAGAAUGUUAUGGUUGACCUGGGCCAGGUUGGUUCUGCUGCUUCUGCACUGCUUACCCAUAGGCCAUAACUGGCCUCCUCUAUUCAAAUUGUUGUGGUCAGAUAGGCAUGUCUUAAGUCUUAACCUGUGCAAAGUGUAUCUCUGCCUCAAAUAAUCUGCUGACUGUUUUGUUUUGUAAAUGUGCUUCAUCGGGUCCACAUUCCUUCUUCCUUUUUUUGUUAUUUUUCUGAGCUGCUCUAACUCCUUAUAUCAGAUAUGCUGUGAGACAUGGCUUAAAGCUUGGUGUAGGCUGCUUGGACCUAAACGCCUAAAUAAAAAUAUUUAGCUUAAACCCAUAAGUCUGUAACAUAUCAAGCAUGAUGGUGUUUGCAAUAUUUGCUAGUAUAGUAUGUGGUAUUGUAGUGUUUUAUUAUGAAAUCCUUGUGUGAGUAGAGCUAGGGGCUCUUAUUUCACCAAAUUGUUCCUUUAUGUGCUUUUGUUACAACUUACAGUCUUACACUACACACAGAAGAAGCUUAAUUAUCAGAAGGUUCAUUGGAAAUCAGUUUAUCAAUUCAAGAAAUGGAGUUUCGUCAAAAGACAACCUGUUGCUUGGCCAAUCAAUAUUUAUACUCUAUAGUGACUAUACAUUACUUGGAGGGAAAGAAAUCUAAUGACAAGGAAUCGCUGAAAAUUAUCUAAAAUACGAUGUUUUUGUUUUAAGUCACAUGAGUACAUGUGAUCUUACCACCUAUCCAUGUCGAUAUGUGAAUAAGGUGACAAAGGUACGGCUGUAUAGGCUGUAUUUUAAAACAAAAAAAAUUAUAUUUUGAUACUUAAUUUUUUCUUUAAUUUUGAUUUUUCCCUUCUUUUUUAUUUUUCUUCCAUCAAGAUUCUAUAUUUUCUUCUCAUUUUUCAUUAAGUUUGAGAUUUUUUGUGGAUUGACCUCACACCCUUCCUCAGGGCAAUGGGAAGCUCGUCAUUUUCUUUUUCAACCUCAUCUUGAGUCUUCCAGGGAAGGAAUGGCAUUGGGAUUGGAAUUAGACCUCGCACCACAAGUCACCUCCUCUGUCCGAGCACCUCGUCUAGAGUAGACCUGUCCAAACAAACGAAGGCCUUCCUUCUCAGUCCCGGUGUUACACCCUUUCUCCUUCUCAGGCAUAUCAACAACUGUGAGAGGUUUUGAACAUCCUUUCUCCCUUUCAUACCCAUAAUCAACUGUGAUAGGUUCUUCUUUCUUGUAAUCCAAGAAGUCUGUAAAUUGAAUCUCUUGACUCUGAGAAUACUCUUCCCUAACCACAGACUUCUCCUCCUAAAGAGUAUUCUCACAAAAGUAAGAUGCAUGUUCCAAAAAGGUAACAUCCCUUGUAACAUAAACUCGACCAGUAGUAGGAUCAAGACAUCUAUACCCUUUCUGAGUGGAAGAAUACCCAACAAACACACCCUUGAUAGACCGGGGGUCAAGUUUCUUAACAUUUGGACUGUGAUCAUGAAUAAAACACACACAACCAAACACACGAGGGGGGAGAAGAAAAGGUUGACGACUUCCCGGAAGUAAGGAAUGAGGAGUCCGACCAUUCAGUACACGACUGGGCAUGCGGUUGAUGAGGUACACACUAGUAAGAACUGCAUCACCCCAAUAGUGUUUGGGAAGAUUUCUCUGAAACAAAAGGGCUAUGGUGACAUUAAGGAGCUGGCGGUUCUUCCUCUCAGCCACCUCGUUUUGAGGGGGGGUAUAACUACAGGACGUCUUAUGAACAAUCCCCCUUUUUCGAAGAAAAUUCUCAACUGACUGACACAUAUACUCACGGGCAUUAUCUGAUCGAAAAGUUUUAACAUUUCCACCAUAUUGAGUUUGCACAAGAAGAAUGAACGUCUCUAUGAUUUAAAGUACCUCACUGCGAUCUUUUAACAAGUACACAAAGGUGGUCCUAGAGAAGUCAUCAAUAAAAGUAAUAAAAUAUUGAAACCCUUGACGGGUAUGAAUUCUCAAAGGCCCCCACACUUCAGAGUAAACCAAGGAAAAAACUUCAUUAACACAACUAGUAGAAAUAGGGUACGAAGCCCUCACAUGUUUGGCAAACUGACAUACAUCACAAGAAAUCAAAGACAAAUUCAUAGUGGAACACAAAUCGGAAAACAACUGUUUUAAAAUCCCAAAAGGUUAAUGCCGAAGGCAUUCAUGCCAAUACAAAAAGGACUGAAGACAAUCUUCUCUUCACUUUUCUGUCUUGCUAAUCACUGUCAUAAGAGCCGUGGCCACUCGUAUGAGAAGACGAUAUAAGCCAUCAGACGCCAAACCAAUCCCAAUCCUCUUCCCUAUCACCAAGUCCUGCAAAACACAACGAUUUAUAGAGAAAAUGAGGUCACAAUUCAGCUCUUUAGUAAGUUUACUAACUGAUAAGAGAUUUAAGGGAAACUGAGGGACAUGUAAUGCUCCUCGCACAUGAAAUUUGUCAAACAAGGACAGACUCCCUUCUCCAGCCACAAAGGUAGAGGAACCAUCUGCGAGGGAUAAUUCGUUUCCUACCAGAAGCCAAUUUAUACUCAUGAAACAAUUUAGGGUUACCUGUCAUGUGGUGAGUAGCACCAGUGUCAACAAUCCAUUCUCCCAAGUAGGAGUUACCUAUAUCCCCUACGAUGGCAAGAGCAUGAUUAGCCUUCGUUUCAUAUGAUGUCUCGGCCGGAUUGACAUCGAUCCGACCCAAAUAGGCUGCAGUUCACGAAGCUGUUCAGCAGAAAUGGAGGCCUUGCAUCCACUAGAGUUGGUAUCCUCCGACACAGGCAUCUUCCCACUAGAAGAUCUCACCCUGUUAUCCCGUUUUUCUGGAUGAAGAUCCCAACGGAAAUCCACAGUAUGGCCAGUCUUCUUGCAAUGAGUGCAUCUACGAAGAGGUUUGGGAGCACUACCCAGACCAGGACUAACAAGUGCAGAUCUCUCAUUAUAAGGUAUGUGAUCCCUCUUCCCCCAGGGGGACAAGUCUUCUCUGUUCUUCAGCCUCAACAUGGGAGUAGACAUCUUCGAUACUGAAGGAUUCCUCAGAGUUAAGAAUCUGACUCCUGAUAUUUUCAAAUUCAUCAUUUAGCCCUACUAAGAACAGGAAUAUCCUAUUCUCCCAUUCUUUUGCAACGUACUGCAUCUGGUUGUCAUGACAGUGCCAAGUAGCCUUGGAAUGGUAGUCAAGAUCCUCCCAUUUGGAUUUUAGAGCUGCAUAGAAAUCUGUGACCGAGACAUUCCCUUGCCUGAGAGCAUACACAUCCUUCAUCAGUUGAUACACACGAACCUUCCUCUUCUUCUUGGCAUACAUUUGUUCCAACAUGAUCCACAUAUCUCUCACAGUCUUCUUACGAAGAAUGAGAGAUUAAAUAUCAGACGAGACUGAAUUAACAAUCCAAUUUUUGACUUGGUUGUCCUCAAGAAACCAAGUAUCCCAAGCUAUAUACUGUUCGCAGCAGGUUCAACCUUACUCCCAUUCACAUAUGCAAUACGGCCUCGACCAGCUAUUCCCAUGGUGAUGGCGGCAGCCCACUUAAGAUAAUUUUCCUUAGUAAGGCGAAUGGUAGUGACUUGAAGAGGAAUACUCUCGGUUCUAUAAGCCACAGCUUCAUUCUAAACAGUGUUGAUGGUCAACGAGGAAGAGGCUGCCAUAAUUGCAGACCUGCCUUACAAAGGGGGCAAAAAGAAACAGAGCGGCAAAACAUGGACAGCAAAAAGGGAACAAAUGGGCCAAAAACAGGAACUCCACCAUAGCAGAACCAGGGGCUGAACAGAAACAACCUGCCGUGCGAUGGAGUAAUGUCGGGCGAGGCAGCCGGUGGCAGCAGAGUUUCCAGGCGAUGCAGUCAGGUGGUGGCGGUAGGAACAGAGCACAGAGUGGUGACGUUAGGCACUGGCAGAGGCGACAGCGGCAGUCUCGGGCGAUGCUCUUCGAAGGGCGAAGAGAAAAAAUCUCGGGCGCAGAAGGUGCACUGUCGGGCACAGCAACCUUCGCCUGAGUCCAACAAAACUUCACAGCGGCAAGCAGGACAGAAACAGAGAGUCACCAGAAUAGAGAGACGCCGAAACUCCAGACGGCGUCGAGUGCAUCGCCAAACUCCAAUAGUGUCGAGUGCAUCGCUGGAAGAGACGCCGGAACUCCACGAUGUCAGGCGAUGACCAACGUCGGGCAGCGAAUAGUAACGGCACGUGAUUGGAACCGUCAGGCAAUGGGCAAUGAACAGUACCGGCACAAGUCCUCCUCUCACACGGCCACAACAGAAACAAAAACGCGAAUCAGACACGCCAGAACUUCACGACUCUGAUACCAUGUAGGAACACGAGGAUCAAGAACAAAGGAAUACGAUGAACACGAUGUAACGUGGAAAAACCCUCAGCAAGAGGAAAAAAAAAACCACGGACGAGGAGGAACUGGAGCCCACUAGCAACCAGACUCUCUCUCUCUUAAGAUUUCAUUAACAACUCAAAAUUAGGGUUACAAGCCUUAAGUAAGGCCCAACAAGGGCUACACGAUGGAUCGGGUAUGGAUCCAGACCUGGUCCUGAAACCCAUUUAACAUGCUUCAACAGUACUGUUAAAAUUUAGAAACAGCAAACUACUUGAAAUUCAAUGUUGUUGUGCUACUCCUUUUUCUUGCUUAAUGUGCUAAUCUCAUUAUUCAAGAAGAUAAAUGAUGUUGACAGCUCCGUGUGAGACAUAUCUUCUGACAGUAAUAGCCUGCAGAUAUUGACUUCCAUGGGUUUUCUAGGAGCAAACUUCCUUUGAGGCCUGAAACUUGCUGUACAAUCAGCUUUACCUUGUUAAAGCUUGUCCAAUGGCUUGUCUGAAUACUGUUAAAGUGAUGCUCUAAUGAAGCUUGCUUUUACCUCUCCUUGACCAUACUUGAUUUUUAGGCUAGACCAUUGGUUCCACAGAUCCUAACCAGUUUUGGAAACUUAAAAUGUCUUUUAAGUCAAAACUCCACUAGUAGAUGGAACUGUGUCUUUCAAGUCAGAACUGUACUAGUUGAUGGAACUCAUUAAUUCAAAGUUGAUUUGGGUGUCCACAAAAGCUCAUCAUUAGACGACCCUUUUGAGCUUUUCUGUGCGGGUGGAAGGACUCUUCUAAGUUAUUUGGUUCAGAUUCUCAGAAUAGUUAUAAAAGCUCUGGGACCAAAUUGCAAUAAAUGUUUUUAAUUAUGUUCUAAUUCUUUCUAUCAAUUAAUUUGUGCAUUCUCUUUAAAGAAAUUUGAUUAUUC